Non-coding RNA from Rattus norvegicus (Norway rat), 4855 nucleotides. The record is from RefSeq and is a predicted model, not a curated record. Lineage: Eukaryota; Metazoa; Chordata; Mammalia; Rodentia; Muridae.
UUCCAAACAGCUACAGUAGCGAAAACUGCUUUCUAGGGGGACCUCUUGACUGUCUGUGUAGAGAGAACAAAUCUUCACUUUGUAUAAAGGAAGGACUUUAAGGAGUUUAGGGAAAUGCCUUAGAGGGGAAAAUACUAGGAAGCCAGCAGCUGGCCACAACUUCUCUAUUUUCUAAAGUAUCUCUUACAGGAGACCCCAGGGGCCAAAGAGAAGGCUUGCAAGAAACAAAAGGAUGAGUAGAGUUUUAAGGGCUAAGAAGCAGAACCUUCCCAGUAUUCCUAGUAAGAUCCUAUUUUGUUUAACCCUUGAAGAAAGUUCUUUCUUUCUUUCUUUCUCUCUCUCUCUUUUUCUUUCUUUCUUUCUUUUUUAAGAAAAACAAGUUUUUGUUUUGUUUUGGUAUGUGUGUGAAUGUGUAUGAGUGUGUAUGAAUGUGACUGUGUGUAUGUGUGUGAAUGUGUGUGUGUGAAUGUGUAUGAAUAUGUGUGUAUGUGUAUGUAUGUGUGAAUGUGUGUAUGUGUGUGAAUAUGUAUGAAUGUGUGUGUAUGUGUGUGUGAAUGUGUAUGAGUGUAUGUGUGAAUGUGUGUGUGAAUGUGUGUGUGUGUGUGUGUGUGUACACGUACACAGUGAGUUAAUGAGCCAUGCUCUUUGUUUGGUGUUACUAAGAGGAGGAAAGAAAAUUUUCUUUCCUGGUGUAGGGGAAUGACCUGCUAAACUGUGGAGACUUCUAGAAAUGUGUCAGGUCUGGUUGAGAAGGACCUGUUUUAUUUUGUUUUUGUGUUUGUACCCUAAAGAUUCCUUUCUUUCUCUUUGUGAGUAGUGACCUGUGCUCACUGUGAAGGAAGCUAAGUUUCCUAUGAUUGUUCUGAUUCUGAUCAAAGUGGUAGAAGUUGAAGGAGAAACACCAGAGCCCAGGAGUGCUGGUAACACUAGAGUUCCAGGUGAGGUGUCACUCAUGAACCACACACACACCAGGAAGAACCGACACUUGCUGUCUUCUGUGUAUCCCGAGAAAACAGUGGGCCACAAAUAUGGAGCCAGAAGGUGGCUCCAUGUCCUAGGGUCUGGAGAACUUCUUCAGGCAAGGAAUAGCAAGUGACUUUCCUUCCCGUGAUGAUGCAGAGAAAGCAGGCGACUCCCUUCCGAAGGACCCUGCUGCUGCAUCUGGUCUUAGCAGAAGAGUCUGCAGCAGCUGAGCAGUGUACACGCACACAGGAGGAAAACGCCACAGCAAGACUUGCUCUCCCUGGCCUUGGGCAUCUCUCAGAAAGUUGCAUUACUGCACUUGUGCAAAGGUAAGUAGAGAGGGAAAUGCAGCCCAGAGGUGAAAGAGUAAACAGGAUGGCAGGAGUCAUGGUGAUUCUGGCGGAGACAAUGGCGCUCACUCAACACCGUGAAAUCUAAGCAGAAGUGAAGUUGUCACCUUUGAACUAAGGCAGAGAGCAAUUAUAGGCUGUGCUGUACUCAUCUUCCUGUUCCUGUGACUCAAAGGGCCUCUUCUUCUAGGAGUGUGCUCACAAAAUGGGGUAGCCUCUGCCACCAUUUUUUUUUUUUCAUGUGAAACAGAGCCUCUGGCCAAACAAUGUAUAGCCAAGAGAAAACUAACCUCCUCGUAUUUGUGUGUGUCCUUUGGAAUGCAAUGUACCCUGUCCCAUCUGACUGACACAUUCAUGAAGGGACUGUGGGUUGUCCCCUGCUCUCCAAUCCCCCCUCCCCCACCUCCAUUUGUUUUUAGGGCCUUGCUUUGUAGCUGGCUUGGAAUUUGGUUUAUAGACCAGGCUGGCCUUAAUCAAGCUCACAGAGAUCCACUGGCUCUACCUCCUAAGUUCUGGGAUUAAAGGUGUGCACCAGCACGUCUGGUUUCUUCAUGCAGUCUUACUACAGAGCCCAGCCUGGGCUGAUUCUCAGUCUUCCUGCCUUACUCACCCUAGUGCUGGAUCCCAGACAUGAACCACUGUGCUUGUCUUCUGUGAGUACUUGAAACUGCUGUUUUAAACGAUGAUGUCUGGGUAUGGUGGUAAACUGCCACAAUCCCAGCCACUUGGAAGGUUUAGGUGGGAGGAACAGGGGGUUCAAGGCCAGCCUAGAGUGAAAGACCUGUUCCUUACAAGUAGGUAAGCAAGCAAAAGCAUAAGGGGAUCUUGGCAAUUUAGUUAUGCAUCAAAAGGUUCCUUAAGGAAGAAAAAGGACCACAUUACACUCUGAUUAAAAUUAAUAAAAUAUACACAUCUUUAAUACAAAAUGUUUGUACAAAUGGUCAGCGUCCGUACACCUUAAACACAAGACUUACUGGUCAAUUUCUCUCUUUGUCUUGUCUUGUAUCGUUUCCUCCCUUCCUUCCCCUCCCCUCUCCUCCCCCGUGAACCCCCAGCCCAGGCUGAUCUUGAAGUCACCUUCUAGUCAAGGAUGCUCUUGAACUUGUACCUCCUGCCUCCAUUUCCCAAAGUUCUGGGAUUAGAGAUGUGUGUCUCCAUAUUCAGUUUGUGAUCUCGCAGCUUUGUGCCUUCUAAGCAAACACUUUACCAACUGAGCCAGUCUCUCUGUCUGUCUCUCUGUCGUCUGUCUCUCUCUUUCUCAGUUUCUGUUCUUCCUAAUUUUUGGGCUACUGUGCAAUCUCAUAAAUUUACUCUCUGUCUUCAGCUGACCACUUCCCGGCUGAGAAGCCCUAUGCAAACUUCAUUGUAAUUAUAGCUACUUAGCCUUUUAAAUCCAUUCGAUUAUUUGUUCUCUCUCUCUCUCUCUCUCUCUCUCUCUCUCUCUCUCUCUGUGUGUGUGUGUUUAUCAUGCAUGUCUAUCACAAUGUGCAUUGCCUGUUGCCUGAGGAGGCAAGAAGUCUUCACAUCCUUCACAUCCCCUGGAGCUGGAGUCCCAGAUGGCUGUGAGCCACCAUGUGGGUUCUGGGAACAGAACUUCUUUCUCUGGAAGAGCAGUCAGUGAGUUGUGACUUCAACCGCUGAGCCAUCUCUCCACCUUAAGAUAUUUGGGUUUUAUUCAUUGAUCUUAUGAUUUGCCAAUAUUUGUACUUAUGAUUACAUCUCCUUUCUUCCUUCUGUAGGUCUAUAGCCCAGACUGGCUGCAAACUCACUAAGAAUCCAACAAUUACCUUGAACUUUAGAUCCUCCCGAAUGCUGGGAUUCUAGAAUCCAUACAGUAUGAUUUAUGAAAUACUGAAGAUCAAAUUCAGGGCAUUGUGCAUGCUAGGCAAGCAUUCUACCAACUGGGCUCCAUCCCUAGAUCAAUCGAUCAUUCAUUCAUUCUCUCUUUUGAGACAGAGUUUCACUGUGUGAUUUUGAUUGGCCUAGAAUUUUUUUUUUUUUCAGAACAGAGGUAGGGGAAGUGAGAGAUUUGCCUUACCUCCUGAGUGCUGGGGUUAGAAGCAUACUUCACCAUGCCCAGCGUCUGAUUAAUUCUUUAGAAAAUACUCCUAAGCUCGAUGUCUGGAUAAUAAUUUUAAGGACUACUAAAUGUUAGAAUAAAUAAAGCUUCUAUGAACACAAGAGUUCAUUCCUCACUCACGUCUGUUUAACGUCUGUGGCCUACAGCCUUCCCGUGGUUGUUCAAGGACUCAAGCCACAUCUAGCUUAUUGUGCUGUCACCAUCAGCAAGUUCUUGUAAAAGCCACUAAGUGUGGAAAACACAGGGUAGAGACCGCACACCAGGCUUCUCAGCUUAGAAGGAAUGGGAGCCACUCUUCCAUCAGGGAGGGAGGGCUGGUUACAGAGGGCAGCACUUUCCUCCAGGAAAACUGAAGACUACAGCUACUGGCCAGGUAGCCAGUUCCCAGUACACUUAUUGCGUGGGUUUUUUCUGGAAAGAAUGAAUAAAUGUCUACUCACCACCGAUAGGGAAUCACGGACAGACCAACGUGACAAUUCUACCCAAGUCUUGCCUGAUGAACCAAUGAGUUUAUGGGGCUCACUUUCAGGAACAUGCAUUACUUACAGGAAGAAUGGGUACCCACAAACAGCUGUGUCGUCACAAAGUCUCAUCCCAGCGUGGGUGAUGACUUCCCCAUAGCCACAUAGAUGGCUCGCCCCCCUAGCCUUCCACUUUCCAUAUUCUCUAGGAACCUCCAAGAUCACAUGAAGCUGGGGGAGAGCAAUGUGAAGCUUGGAGGAGGGGCAGCUAGAAUCUCAGAAGUUUGACACUGAAUAAAAAUGCGGACAUGACCACUUUCCUAUGUAUAAUUAAGGAGAAAGAUUUUAUUGUGGACACGUUGGAGAGAACAGCCAGAAGCAUCUGCAAGAGUCCAGACUGACCAUGGCCUACAGGAUUUCUCUGUGUAGCCCUGGAUAUCCUGGAACUUGCUCUGUUAAGAGAGAGUUUCCUGAGUCCAGCCAUCUCAGGAACCGAGUUCCACCUUGCUGGCAGGAUCAAAACUGAGUUCACGUUCCCAGGCCCCAGAAUCCAGGUCCUGGCCUGCUUCUUCAUGUUUGUCCAUUAACCAAGACAGGAUGCAAAGAAGGAAGAUGCCGCUAUCCCGUUAUCUAGACUAAGGCACACAGCCCAUAACUGUGCUGCCUGUCUUGACUUAUUGACUCCAUGCAGCUUGCCUCUCCUUUGGUCCCUUAUCACCCUAAAUUCCAGACUAGAGUCCAGGAGGGGGCCUGACGGCAGCAGCUGAAUCAAGGACCCUGAAACCAGGUGACCCGGAUAACCAGAGACCAAUGUUAACUUCCAUGCUUAACCCCUGAUGUCAAAAUAUGAUCGGUCAAUGCAACAGCCCUCCUCACUCCCCCUCAUUUUUUGUUCCCAUCCUAUAAAAAUGUUGUACAGUCUCCCUUAGGGAACGAGGUUCAGAUCCUAAACUGGCUGCCUCCCAGGGCACUCAGAAAAUAAAGCUUUCAUUUGAAGCUUC